AUGGAACAGGCACAGUUAUUUACACCUAAGAGGAGGGGAGUCCACGGGAUCCACACUGUAACCAGGAUAACACCAUACCUGUCUCAACACCCAGGAGAAACAGCAUGUGGUAUCCUCUGCCAGAACAUAUUUGCUUUAAUGUACUUUAUCAGGUGGUCCUUAACAUAGCACUGGUAUCUUCUGCGGCAGCACAAUACACAGGGGAUAGAUCUAACUGAUGAAACCAGUGAAAUGAAAAAGAAAAAGAAAGGAUGAAAUAAAAGGAAGAAUUAACUCUCUUGCCA
Molecule: long non-coding RNA, 284 nt
Filed under: Crocodylus porosus (Australian saltwater crocodile)
Lineage: Eukaryota; Metazoa; Chordata; Crocodylia; Crocodylidae
Description: lncRNA (ENSCPRG00005018861.1)
Source: RNAcentral